ACGGGUGAGUAACACGUGAGCAACCUGCCCCUCACUCUGGGAUAAGCGCUGGAAACGGCGUCUAAUACUGGAUACGAGACGCAACCGCAUGGUUAGCGUCUGGAAAGAUUUUUUGGUGGGGGAUGGGCUCGCGGCCUAUCAGCUUGUUGGUGAGGUAAUGGCUCACCAAGGCGUCGACGGGUAGCCGGCCUGAGAGGGUGACCGGCCACACUGGGACUGAGACACGGCCCAGACUCCUACGGGAGGCAGCAGUGGGGAAUAUUGCACAAUGGGCGGAAGCCUGAUGCAGCAACGCCGCGUGAGGGAUGACGGCCUUCGGGUUGUAAACCUCUUUUAGCAGGGAAGAAGCGAGAGUGACGGUACCUGCAGAAAAAGCACCGGCUAACUACGUGCCAGCAGCCGCGGUAAUACGUAGGGUGCAAGCGUUAUCCGGAAUUAUUGGGCGUAAAGAGCUCGUAGGCGGUUUGUCGCGUCUGCUGUGAAAUCCCGAGGCUCAACCUCGGGCCUGCAGUGGGUACGGGCAGACUAGAGUGCGGUAGGGGAGAUUGGAAUUCCUGGUGUAGCGGUGGAAUGCGCAGA
This 579-nucleotide ribosomal RNA is filed under the name Microbacterium sp. StRD380. RNAcentral describes it as "bacterial SSU rRNA". It matches the Rfam family "Bacterial small subunit ribosomal RNA", at positions 102 to 694 of the family's 1533-position model. The record is from RNAcentral. Lineage: Bacteria; Bacillati; Actinomycetota; Actinomycetes; Micrococcales; Microbacteriaceae.